RNAcentral lists this ribosomal RNA (603 nucleotides) under uncultured fungus. RNAcentral describes it as "eukaryotic LSU rRNA". It matches the Rfam family "Eukaryotic large subunit ribosomal RNA", at positions 23 to 641 of the family's 3401-position model. The record is from RNAcentral. Lineage: Eukaryota; Fungi.
ACCCGCUGAACUUAAGCAUAUCAAUAAGCGGAGGAAAAGAAACCAACAGGGAUUGCCCUAGUAACGGCGAGUGAAGCGGCAACAGCUCAAAUUUGAAAUCUGGCGUCUUUGGCGUCCGAAUUGUAAUUUGCAGAGGGCGCUUUGGCAUUGGCAGCGGUCCAAGUUCCUUGGAACAGGACGUCACAGAGGGUGAGAAUCCCGUACGUGGUCGCUAGCCUUUACCGUGUAAAGCCCCUUCGACGAGUCGAGUUGUUUGGGAAUGCAGCUCUAAAUGGGAGGUAAAUUUCUUCUAAAGCUAAAUACUGGCCAGAGACCGAUAGCGCACAAGUAGAGUGAUCGAAAGAUGAAAAGCACUUUGGAAAGAGAGUUAAAAAGCACGUGAAAUUGUUGAAAGGGAAGCGCUUGCAGCCAGACUUGCCUGUAGUUGCUCAUCCGGGUUUCUACCCGGUGCACUCUUCUAUAGGCAGGCCAGCAUCAGUUUGGGCGGUUGGAUAAAGGUCUCUGUCAUGUACCUCUCUUCGGGGAGAACUUAUAGGGGAGACGACAUGCAACCAGCCUGGACUGAGGUCCGCGCAUCUGCUAGGAUGCUGGCGUAAUGGCUGU